GAGUAUGGAAAUUGAAUUAAACCCGUGUGAGCUUAGUAAAUGAUUAGGAUACAAAUGACAUGUCAUUAGGGCUUAUCAGGCACUAUGUGCUGGUGAUUAUAGUUAUCAAGUACUUUGUACAGGUGCUACAGUUAUUAGGCACUUUGUGUCGGUGUUAUAUUAUCAAGUACUAUGUAUUGGUGGUGGAUAUCAUACUGAUGACUAAAAUCUAGCAUUUGUUGCAUAUUCUCGACAGCUUGUGUAAGCAACAUCAAGUAAUGGUUAAUGUCCC
Molecule: long non-coding RNA, 271 nt
Filed under: Gossypium barbadense (sea-island cotton)
Lineage: Eukaryota; Viridiplantae; Streptophyta; Magnoliopsida; Malvales; Malvaceae
Description: long non-coding RNA (GBAR_LNC022438)
Source: RNAcentral